This 115-nucleotide ribosomal RNA is filed under the name Chlamydiae bacterium RIFCSPHIGHO2_12_FULL_49_11. The record is from RNAcentral. Lineage: Bacteria; Pseudomonadati; Chlamydiota.
CUUGGUGAUGAUAGAGGUGGGGAAAUACCUGUUCCCAUUCCGAACACAGAAGUCAAGACCGCCUUCGCCGAUGGUACUAUACGCAAGAGUAUGGGAGAGUAGGGCGUUGCCAAGU